This 349-nucleotide ribosomal RNA is filed under the name Placobdella montifera. RNAcentral's name for it is "partial 12S ribosomal RNA". It matches the Rfam family "Bacterial small subunit ribosomal RNA", at positions 874 to 1384 of the family's 1533-position model. The record is from RNAcentral. Lineage: Eukaryota; Metazoa; Annelida; Clitellata; Rhynchobdellida; Glossiphoniidae.
UUCUAUUAAUAGCUUACUUAAAGAGUUGGAAAAUACGAACAACAGUUUAAACACCAAAGAAUUUGGCGGUGUCUUAACCAAUUAGGGGAACCUGUCCCUUAAAUCGAUAAUCCACGAAUGCCUCACCUAAUUUUGAAACUCAGUUAGUGUACUGCCGUCUUAAGUAUACCUUUAUGAGUGUAUACAACUAAUUAUUAUAUAAUAAAACGUCAGGUCAAAGUGCAGCUUAUAAUUAGGAGGAGAUGGGUUACAAACUUUAUAUAGAUAUGGAUAAAUAUAUUAAAUUAUAUUUUGAAGGUGGACUUAAUAGUAAUUAUAUAUAAUAUAAUGAAAUAUACAUAAGACAAGU